RNAcentral lists this ribosomal RNA (497 nucleotides) under uncultured bacterium. RNAcentral describes it as "partial 16S ribosomal RNA". It matches the Rfam family "Bacterial small subunit ribosomal RNA", at positions 28 to 507 of the family's 1533-position model. The record is from RNAcentral.
GAUGAACGCUGGCGGCGUGCCUAAUACAUGCAAGUCGAGCGAACAGACGAGGAGCUUGCUCCUCUGACGUUAGCGGCGGACGGGUGAGUAACACGUGGAUAACCUACCUAUAAGACUGGGAUAACUUCGGGAAACCGGAGCUAAUACCGGAUAAUAUAUUGAACCGCAUGGUUCAAUAGUGAAAGACGGUUUUGCUGUCACUUAUAGAUGGAUCCGCGCCGCAUUAGCUAGUUGGUAAGGUAACGGCUUACCAAGGCAACGAUGCGUAGCCGACCUGAGAGGGUGAUCGGCGACACUGGAACUGAGACACGGUCCAGACUCCUACGGGAGGCAGCAGUAGGGAAUCGUCCGCAAUGGGCGAAAGCCUGACGGAGCAACGCCGCGUGAGUGAUGAAGGUCUUCGGAUCGUAAAACUCUGUUAUUAGGGAAGAACAAAUGUGUAAGUAACUAUGCACGUCUUGACGGUACCUAAUCAGAAAGCCACGGCUAACUACGUG